RNAcentral lists this ribosomal RNA (301 nucleotides) under uncultured bacterium. RNAcentral's name for it is "partial 16S ribosomal RNA". It matches the Rfam family "Bacterial small subunit ribosomal RNA", at positions 509 to 807 of the family's 1533-position model. The record is from RNAcentral.
CAGUCGCCGCGGUAAUACAGAGGGUGCGAGCGUUAAUCGGAUUUACUGGGCGUAAAGCGUGCGUAGGCGGCUAAUUGAGUCGGAUGUGAAAUCCCCGAGCUUAACUUGGGAAUUGCAUUCGAUACUGGUUAGCUAGAGUGUGGGAGAGGAUGGUAGAAUUCCAGGUGUAGCGGUGAAAUGCGUAGAGAUCUGGAGGAAUACCGAUGGCGAAGGCAGCCAUCUGGCCUAAUACUGACGCUGAGGUACGAAAGCAUGGGGAGCAAACAGGAUUAGAUACCCCGGUAGUCCCUGUCUCUUAUAC